Molecule: ribosomal RNA, 453 nt
Filed under: Triticum aestivum (bread wheat)
Lineage: Eukaryota; Viridiplantae; Streptophyta; Magnoliopsida; Poales; Poaceae
Description: partial small subunit ribosomal RNA
Source: RNAcentral
AUGAGAAGGAAUCUUGUUUCAGUGUCCAAGCUAGAGUCAAUUGGAUAUAAAAUUCUCUUUGCCGACGGGAAGGUGAAGAUUAUCUUAAAUGGAAGAUUAGUACAUUCAGGCGAUAGACAUGAUGGUCUCUAUUUUCUAAAUGACAUCAUGGAAAAUAAUUGCUUAGUAGGCGAAGAUAACUCCGUUGUGAGGAAUAUAAAUGGACACAAUAAUUGUUCUGAAUCUUACUUGUGGCAUUUGCGACUUGGACAUAUAUCCAAGAACAGGAUUAAGAGACUUAUUAGUUCUGGAAUUUUGAACUUUAAGUGGGAGGAUUAUGGUAUUUGUGAAGCAUGUAUUAUGGGUAAAAUGACUAGGUCGCCUUUUCCCAAAGCAAGUAGAUCAACAGAACAGCUUGCCAUCGCUCGCUCUGACAUUUGUGGGGAAUUUUCCACACCCACUUUGGGAGGGUAG